UACGGAGGAUCCAAGCGUUAUCCGGAAUCAUUGGGUUUAAAGGGUCCGUAGGCGGUUUUGUAAGUCAGUGGUGAAAGCCCAUCGCUCAACGGUGGAACGGCCAUUGAUACUGCAAGACUUGAAUUAUUAGGAAGUAACUAGAAUAUGUAGUGUAGCGGUGAAAUGCUUAGAUAUUACAUGGAAUACCAAUUGCGAAGGCAGGUUACUACUAAUAUAUUGACGCUGAUGGACGAAAGCGUGGGGAGCGAACAAG
Molecule: ribosomal RNA, 253 nt
Filed under: uncultured bacterium
Lineage: Bacteria
Description: partial 16S ribosomal RNA
Rfam family: Bacterial small subunit ribosomal RNA
Source: RNAcentral